RNAcentral lists this long non-coding RNA (354 nucleotides) under Cyanistes caeruleus (blue tit). RNAcentral's name for it is "lncRNA (ENSCCEG00000018334.1)". Lineage: Eukaryota; Metazoa; Chordata; Aves; Passeriformes; Paridae. The record is from RNAcentral.
AGAGCAAGCCCGGCCGUGAGGGCAGGAGGGGCCGGGGCGGCCGAGGCCCUGCCCGGGGCGUCCCCUGGCCUUGGGGGGGACGGGAGCCGGGCUGCCCACAGAGGGAGCCCGGGGAAUGGUCUGAUCGGUGAACCGGAGGGUCUCGCAGGAAGUCUUAGUAGGGGAAUGUUGUAAUUGAAAGCUAAUUGCCCUUCAUCCAGUUCUUCAUCCAAUCCACCAUUUUCCUGCUCAUCCCAUUUAUAUUUCUGGCAAGAACAAAGCAAGCUGUCACAAACAGAAGGAUGUUCAUGGACACUGCCUAGACCUUCACCACAACAAAAGGAAACACAAUCCUUAUUACCUCUGGAGCAUGUU